Molecule: long non-coding RNA, 745 nt
Organism: Notolabrus celidotus (New Zealand spotty)
Lineage: Eukaryota; Metazoa; Chordata; Actinopteri; Labriformes; Labridae
Exons: 3
Source: RefSeq, a predicted model, not a curated record
UAGUAAUGCUUCUUUUUAAAUAGAUGUAGUUAAAGUUUCAAAUACUGUCCAAAAUGUAUCCUGACAUGAUAAAUGUUACUUUUGAUAACUGUAAUAAAAGGUAAACUCACCAAAGAAAAGUCUUCUGAGCUGCAGCAGCUCUGCCAAGCAGCCACAAAAGUAAAGGUGUUUUUGUGACGACUCGAAGGUCUGGGACUGUGAUGGAUCAGUCUUUGCUCUCUGUGCGUGUUCGCCUGACGAUGGAGGAGAAGCAGCUCCGGCCUUGUUGAGGUCCCAUUAACAUGGCGGCCUGGUUCUUGUGGAUGAUCUCAAUCUAGUGGUGGAAAAAAGGAAAGUUUGCCGUUUCAGCGUGGAUUGUUGUGACCCUCCUCCACCCCUGUCUCCUCUAGUCCUCGUCAGUGUGUCAGUUCUUCAGAUGUCCAACCCUUCCUCACUUCCUGUAUCCUUCCAUCACCACCACCACAACCAGUGUCUAGACUCUAAGGGGUUAUCCUAUCCUGCAGUUGGCUUCACCACCACUUUGGUGAUUAGAUCCCAUAAAGACAUCUUCAAAGACACCGCAUGUUUAACAUCCUUUCUAAAUCUUGUUAAAUAAGUUAUUGUUUAAGUCUCUCCUGAUUGAUAUCUGUUAGUAGAGAUUAUCACAGUGGCGGAAACUUUUGUAAAACCUUCUCAAUCUUGUCAGUAUUUAAUAAAUAAGACUCUACUUCAUGUUAUGAACAACUUGUACAUGCUGGCCAAUAAA